Molecule: long non-coding RNA, 1170 nt
Filed under: Gossypium barbadense (sea-island cotton)
Lineage: Eukaryota; Viridiplantae; Streptophyta; Magnoliopsida; Malvales; Malvaceae
Description: long non-coding RNA (GBAR_LNC002627)
Source: RNAcentral
UUAAACAGUGCAGUAGUUUUUGAAAACCGCUGUUAUACCUUCCUUUUUCAAUUGUUUUUCUUUUAAAACGCAGCAAACUUUCCUUUUAAACCUAAGUAUGCUAUCAACCUAUUUUUUAGGGUUUCAUCUAGCAGGUGCCGCCAACGAGGGGAGCAUUUGAGUCAUAAAAUCAAUUUACAGCCUUAAAAUCUCUCCCCUGUUUUCAAUUUCAACGAAACAAAGAAGAUCCAUGGUGAAUUUAUAAAGUAAGAUCUCUUCUCUCGCUUUACCUUUUAUUUUAAAAUACAAUAUUGAAAGAUUGAAUAGGAAAAUGAAACGAUUCAAUCGGAAGAAAAAAAAAACUAAAAGCCAAUAAAAAAAACUGAAAAUCACAUCUAUAAAUCUACUCUCGAAAUACUUUUUCCAGUAUUUAGUGUGCGUAUGUAGGUGUAUAUUCUCUAUGCAUAAUCUCUUUUUUUUUCUUUUUUUCUUUAUGCGAAGGGAUUUUGUGGUGAAAUGAAGAAAGAAAAAUGAAUUGAAACACUGGAAAAUGCAAUCUAAAAUUACCUUAGUUUUUCAUUGUUUUUUCCUCUUUUUUUAAUAUUUCGUGAUCCCCUUUUACAUCAUUCCUCUGGCUUUUUAUAGCCGAAUAAAGAGAAAUAAAUAAAAAGUAAAUAAAAAAGAAAAUGCAAUGGCCUUUGCUGUCAAUUGCUGUAGUUGUUAAUCCGUUGCAGGUGUGCAUGGCGCGGUGCUGCUGACAUGGCGAGGCCACUCGUGAGGCGUGAUGCGAAGGCUUCCAAAAGCUUCACUGUUUGGGGCUGCUGUGGUGCUUGCAGCGCAUGGGAAUGGUAGCUUGGUGGCCUAGGGUUUCCACUUUCUAAAAAUAUUUAAUGGGCUAUGUUUUUAGGUUAGGUUAUUGGGGUAUGUAAUGGGUUAGGAUUAGGGUUAAUUUAGGUUUGGACCUUAUUGUAAAAUGAGUUUAAAAUUUGGGCUUCAAUUGUAUGUGGGCUGAAUGUAAAUUUGGACUAUGGACAUUUAUUGGAUUUUUAUUUUGCGAUUUUUGGUUUUUUAAUUUCUGAUUUUUUUUUAAAUUUUAACGGGCCCGGGCGAAAUGGGCCUAUUACAAUAGAGAUACAAUCUUUCCAUCCGACCCAUAUGCAAUCUGAAAAACCAACAGAUUCAAUGCGAUGA